GACGAACGCUGGCGGCGUGCUUAACACAUGCAAGUCGAACGGAAAGGCCCUGCUUGCCGGGUACUCGAGUGGCGAACGGGUGAGUAACACGUGGGUGAUCUGCCCUGCACUUCGGGAUAAGCCUGGGAAACUGGGUCUAAUACCGGAUAGGAGCCAUUUUUAGUGUGAUGGUUGGAAAGUUUUUUCGGAGUAGGAUGAGCUCGCGGCCUAUCAGCUUGUUGGUGGGGUAAUGGCCUACCAAGGCGGCGACGGGUAGCCGGCCUGAGAGGGUGGACGGCCACAUUGGGACUGAGAUACGGCCCAGACUCCUACGGGAGGCAGCAGUGGGGAAUAUUGCACAAUGGGCGCAAGCCUGAUGCAGCGACGCCGCGUGGGGGAUGACGGCCUUCGGGUUGUAAACUCCUUUCGCUAGGGACGAAGCUUUUUGUGACGGUACCUAGAUAAGAAGCACCGGCUAACUACGUG
This 465-nucleotide ribosomal RNA is filed under the name uncultured bacterium. Its description in RNAcentral is "partial 16S ribosomal RNA". It matches the Rfam family "Bacterial small subunit ribosomal RNA", at positions 28 to 507 of the family's 1533-position model. The record is from RNAcentral.